UGAGCAGCCAGCCUAGACCUGGACUGUAAAAAUAGAUCUAUGCUUUGCAGACCUUGAGAAAACUUGUAACUUCCCGAUAUGACAGACACUGUCCCAAGAUGUUGUUUCAGCCGACUUGUUGGAACUUGAACCCACUGAAGCUGGACUUCCGCAGAGAGACCUGGAAGGAACUGUUGGCCCUAGGGAGGAGCUGGCAGAGCUGGGGUUAUUCCCUCUUGAAGAUCUGUUGAGAGGAUCUGUCUCCAUCUUGUGGCCACUUAAGAUAACCUCCUGCCUCCAGGUUCGUGCCCUGUUUGAGUUCCUGCCCUGGCUUCCUUCAUUGAUGGACUAUGACAUGGAAGUGUAAGCCAAAUAAACCCUUUACUCCUCAA
Molecule: long non-coding RNA, 371 nt
Organism: Peromyscus eremicus (cactus mouse)
Lineage: Eukaryota; Metazoa; Chordata; Mammalia; Rodentia; Cricetidae
Exons: 3
Source: RefSeq, a predicted model, not a curated record